This is a long non-coding RNA of Anopheles merus, 596 nucleotides long. RefSeq lists it as uncharacterized. Lineage: Eukaryota; Metazoa; Arthropoda; Insecta; Diptera; Culicidae. The transcript is spliced from 3 exons. The record is from RefSeq and is a predicted model, not a curated record.
UGUAUAUAAACAGCAAUAGGCACAUUCGAGGUAAGAUGUCGUCUUACUUAAAUAUAUCAAUGAUAAAAUAUGAGGUCAGCUCUUCUUUAGUACUAUUUGUAAUAGCUACUAUAACAAGGUUAGUUACACACUCAACACAACACAAAUAUGAACGUGUACCUCACUAAUUCCUUCAUCCUACGUCUAGACGUCUGUACAACCUCAUGACAUCAUAAUCCUAGCAGCACGAUCAAAAUAUGUUUUGUUCUUAUAACAAAGGAACACUCAACCCAAAAUGAACGGCACACACAUUAAGAUCCUUCGUAGUCAGCUCAAUUAACAUCAACAACAACAAAAAGGACACGCGUGGGCCUUAGCCGUGGACCGUGUGCCAAGAUGAACGUCCUAAUCUGCAGAUAAAACAAAUGAUGCUAGGGACAGCUUAAGGCCGAAAAAAGAAUCAAUUUUUCCGAAUGAAUAGAAAUGCGAUGUUCGCACAGAUUCCGAGAACAAGAGAUUAAGCAGGUCACAAUGUAUGCGCUGACACGUUUGCUGCAGCUUCCGGUGAGUGUUUACGCGCUUUCAGUCAAAAGCCGAAGAAAAACGGUCCACUCAUU